This 484-nucleotide ribosomal RNA is filed under the name uncultured bacterium. RNAcentral's name for it is "partial 16S ribosomal RNA". It matches the Rfam family "Bacterial small subunit ribosomal RNA", at positions 899 to 1397 of the family's 1533-position model. The record is from RNAcentral.
ACUCAAAGGAAUUGACGGGGACCCGCACAAGCGGUGGAGCAUGUUCUUUAAUUCGAUGGUAAGCGAAGAACCUUACCAGGGCUUGACAUCCUUGGAAUUUUGGCGAAAGCCGAGAGUGCCGCAAGGAACCAAGUGACAGGUGUUGCAUGGCCGUCGUCAGCUCGUGUCGUGAGAUGUUAGGUUAAGUCCUUCAACGAGCGCAACCCUUAUGAUUAGUUGAAUUUUUCUAAUCAGACUGCCCCGGUAACGGGGAGGAAGGAGGGGAUGAUGUCAGGUCAGUAUUACCCUUACGCCCUGGGCUAGAAACGUGCUACAAUGGCCGGUACAAUGCGAAGCGAAAUCGCGAGAUGAAGCAAAUCGCACCAAAACCGGUCCCAGUUCAGAUUGCAGGCUGAAACUCGCCUGCAUGAAGUCGGAAUCGCUAGUAAUCGCAGGUCAGCACACUGCGGUGAAUACGUUCCCGGGUCUUGUACACACCGCCCGU